CGGCAAGUCCUACACGAUCUGCUCCUGCUGACUCCCCCAGGAUGGGAACAUAGCAAGGGUAUGUGGUUGAGCGAUGCGAUGUAGGUCGCUUGCCUUUU
RNAcentral lists this signal recognition particle RNA (98 nucleotides) under Flavobacterium shii. RNAcentral's name for it is "signal recognition particle sRNA small type". It matches the Rfam family "Bacteroidales small SRP", at positions 9 to 102 of the family's 107-position model. Rfam says of the family: The non-coding component of the signal recognition particle in Bacteroides The record is from RNAcentral. Lineage: Bacteria; Pseudomonadati; Bacteroidota; Flavobacteriia; Flavobacteriales; Flavobacteriaceae.